GUCGGCAACCCUAGCGUUGUGCCGGUGCGCGCGGUGUGGGGAGCGGCGCGCUAAAGGUAACUCCAUUGUAUUUUUGUGUAGGUAUCAAAACGGUAGGUAUUUGCGUUUUCUUUGAGAGAUAAGUAUCUGUUCGUAAGAACUAUUAUAUAAUCUGCGGUCUAACUUCUCUGAAAUUAUGACGUUUAAAAUAACACUUGCACAGUCUGUGCUAUCAAAAUAUCGCUGCCGAGUUAGCUCGGUCUGACUAUUUAUCUUUUUUAAAACAUUAAAAUACGGACUACUGUGAACUGUUAAAUUAUUUAGUAUAAUCUUGUCACUUUAUAACCUAGUAAAUAAAGGGUUUUGUCUUGGUAACGCUAAAACCCUUGUUUUACUAAUUUACUCACGAAAGAAUGCCCACUCUUUGUCUUUCUGUACUAAAUGGUCAAACUUAUUAGUAGGUACAGACAGUGCCGGCCCGAGUCCUUGAUCAUGAUCAGGGUAGAGCGAAAUCGGGUUUUGGCGCCCUUCGUUGAAGCUUUUUACCCAAAAGCAAAACGAGCCAUAUUUUGGGCCCGUCUUUUAAAACUUUUUUUUUCUCAUUUGCCAUUUUGGUGCCCCCCUUGCCAUCCGGCGCCUAGAGCGGCCGCUCCACUCGCUCUACCCUAGAUCCGGCCCUGGGUACAAAAGUACAUAUGGGGUGUGCCUUCGUGAAUGGAAAUACAAAUUAGUAAAGACAAUAUAACUACUGUAGACGUAUACGGUUGAAUAUUAGAUCGUUGAGCGGAUCUAGGUGCCGCAUGGUUUCGUAUAGAGAUUACGGGGAUCCGUGUCCGGUCCGUCCGGUAUCCACAGCGAGGGUUUUAAUUGAAAUGACAUUUGGCUACUGGAUGUCAUAGGUGUCGGCAGCGGUACAAUGUCGAUAGACGGCGGUUGGCAGAUAACGCAGUGUUGUCUUAAGGGUCCUCCACACUCGUGCGCGAAUACGGCGUGAACGCGAGUGUGGGGUCGAUUUCGCAGAUUGUUCACGCCUUCGCGCCUUGUUCCCGUUUUUUGUCGGUUUUUCGGCCGGCGUCAAAGGAGACGCGAACAGUGUUGUUAAAAGACUAGUCUUUAAGACUUUUGAACCUUAACGACUCGCGAACCUUUAAGGCUCAAGCUUUGAAAGCUAGAGCGUUAAAGGUUUGCUCACAAAGCGGUUUAGAACCUUAACGACUCAAAUUUUUUAUGACUUGUCAAAAUGAAGUCUUUAAGACUCGGGCCUCAUAGGGAACUCUAGCUUUUUAACUUAAGCUCAACCUUAAAAGCUUGUGUCAAGCUUAGAGCUCAUAUGUUGAGCUCUCUUUGCAGAAAUUAUUUUUGUGUAGAGAAUUUACGAAUAUUAUAAUAUACCUAUACUACUAGAGUACCUUAACAUCAGUUAACGCAUUUACUGCCUGCAACGUAUACAGGGUGGACCAUUUAGAACCGUGAUUCCGUUGCGUAUGUACAUCCAGAUACAUUUUCUAUGAACCUAUAUUUUAAAAUUUUCCCGUUCCGUUCCGUCCUAUAUGAGUGAGUCAUAAGAAAUAAAAAUAAAAGUAUUUAAAAAGUUUUUUUUUGUUUUUGCUCGAGCACUCUUUGUCAGCGUGUUCACAUUUCACAACACAUACCUAUUACCUAUUCAUACCAAGUUUCAACUUUCUAGUACUAGUCACUGAGCCAACCCGCGGACUGACAGACAUGGCGAAACUAUAAGGGUUCCUAGUUGACUAUACGGAACUCAAAAAGCGAUGUCAUAAUUAUCUUUUUCUGUUUUUGCCUAUUUCACAAAAACGUAUUAAAUUUCACCCUACCCUAUAGCAUAGGUUGAUCUUAUUUGUUAAAAGCUUUUACUUUUUGCUCCAAGCCUUUACUGCUAAAAACCUUACAGACUUAAACCUUCAAAGCUUAGGAGGCUUUAAAGCUUGAGGCCAAAAGACUCGAGGUUUCUUUGCUCGUAAGCAGCAACACGAACUCUUGGUUCGAGUCAUUAAGGUUCCGAGGCUUUAAGGCUCAGCAGUCGCGACUCAAGUCUUGUAGUUUACGCCUCAAAGCUUAAAUCCACAACACUAGACGCGAAGCGCGAACUUGCAAGAUUCCACAUUACACACUAUUUUGGCCCCUCUGUGGCAAGAUAAAUAUAUAUUAUAUUAUGAUUAUAUUAUAGAAAGCAGCUAUAUUUUACGGUUUUACGAU
Cydia strobilella is the source of this 2196-nucleotide long non-coding RNA. RefSeq lists it as uncharacterized. NCBI's taxonomy places the organism in Eukaryota, Metazoa, Arthropoda, Insecta, Lepidoptera, Tortricidae. The record is from RefSeq and is a predicted model, not a curated record. The transcript is spliced from 2 exons.